RNAcentral lists this long non-coding RNA (1388 nucleotides) under Homo sapiens (human). RNAcentral's name for it is "HSALNT0404121". Lineage: Eukaryota; Metazoa; Chordata; Mammalia; Primates; Hominidae. The record is from RNAcentral.
GUCUACUCUUAAUGGUCCAUGGUUUACCCAUGUUCCUUUACAAAAGGAGCUGAGGAGGCGACAGGCAUUUGGGGCUUUGUAGAAAUUUAAAGUAUGGUGCAAAGAUUCACAGCCUCAAGGACUCCUGGAGUCACCUGGAGAUCUCUUGGCAGGACCUUCGUCUCUAGGAUCAUUUAUGUUAUGUGGGAGAUCAGAUCAAGUACACCCUGGCAUGGACUUCCCCUGACGCUGUGCUGGAGCCUGGCCUCUGUGUCUGUCCUGGCAUCUGCCCAGCGGCCUUCAACACAGACCCUCCACUUUUCCACCAGUUUGUCCACCGGUGAAAAGGAGAAGCCAGCCAAGAACCAGCAGCUUCUGGCUACCUUGAUCAGAAGGUUGAUGAAGGCAAUGAAACAAAGAUGGAAAAACACAUCACACAGGCCCUUACCAGAUGCCAGCAUCUUGAUAUUGGACUUCCCAGCCUUCAGAACUAUAAGGCUCCAGUCAAGCAACCCACCUUAUCAAGUGGACCAGGCACAGCUCCUACUUAUCCCUGAGUAGUGGGUAUCAGUUUCCUGCUAACCUCGGAAUUGUUCAAAGCCCAUCACAUUCUCCUGCAGGAACCAGGGAGCACCUCACCCUCUUGUUGCUACAAAGCUUGCCACCCACAGCCCCUGCCUGUUCACCCUGCUCCUGAGGGCAACCCCUGUAUGGCCAGCAUCCCAUGCUGUGUUCACCUCUCCCAAGCUGCGAGUGUAUGUGAAUAAUAACUGCCGUCAAUCGCAUCUGUUAAGCAUCGAGUGUAAUGUGUUUGGUCAUCCUCAUAAUUCUAGUGUGGAAUGUCUCCCUCACCAAUGGGGUGAACAGGAGGGAAUGAAAACAAUGUGUAAAAUAUUUAGACACCGCAAGAUACAUAUUUAGAGCCUGGCAAAUGUUAGUUAAGGCCAUUAUUGCUAUUAUUUUGCAAAAGGAUAAUAAUUUGGUUUUCUUUUAACAAAAUUUGUUUGGGCAGAAUGCUUAGCUCAUAGUGUUAUUCUUAGGUUCCUCCAAACAGCUUUUCUGGAAUUUUGUUUCCCUCAUUAGCAAUUACAAAGAUAUGCUAAUGCUCUGCACCAAGUGGCAGCUACAUGCUUGAGACCAACACUGAAAAUCAGUCAUGGAAUCACUGCAUAUCUGAACAAGGGCCACGAGAGGAGGCACAGAUGGGUCAACUGACUUGAGCAGAGCCACCCAGCAAAUUCAGCGUCGGAGUAUGGUAACUAGAUCUCCUGAUCCAACCAUCCUUCCCUGCACCCUCCCAUCUAGGCUAAUGAGGAGAAAUGUAAUCACGGUGGUAAUUGCAGGCAAAGAUGAGCAUCACUUGGUAAAGCAAUAUGUGUACUUGAGUUGGCCAUAUGGAAAAUCCAGUG